This 491-nucleotide ribosomal RNA is filed under the name uncultured bacterium. Its description in RNAcentral is "partial 16S ribosomal RNA". It matches the Rfam family "Bacterial small subunit ribosomal RNA", at positions 29 to 507 of the family's 1533-position model. The record is from RNAcentral.
GUGAACGCUGGCGGUAGGCCUCACACCUGCAAGUCGAACGGCAGCACAGUAAGAGCUUGCUCUUACGGGUGGCGAGUGGCGGACGGGUGAGGAAUACAUCGGAAUCUACUUUUUCGUGGGGGAUAACGUAGGGAAACUUACGCUAAUACCGCAUACGACCUACGGGUGAAAGCAGGGGAUCUUCGGACCUUGCGCGAUUGAAUGAGCCGAUGUCGGAUUAGCUAGUUGGCGGGGUAAAGGCCCACCAAGGCGACGAUCCGUAGCUGGUCUGAGAGGAUGAUCAGCCACACUGGAACUGAGACACGGUCCAGACCCCUACGGGAGGCAGCAGUGGGGAAUAUUGGACAAUGGGCGCAAGCCUGAUCCAGCCAUACCGCGUGGGUGAAGAAGGCCUUCGGGUUGUAAAGCCCUUUUGUUGGGAAAGAAAAGCAGCAGGUUAAUACCCCGCUGUUCUGACGGUACCCAAAGAAUAAGCACCGGCUAACUUCGUG